AUGGUCAUAUCAUAUUGAAACACUGGUUCCUGUACAACCACCAAAAUUAAGCAAUGUCAAGCUUGGUCAGUACCUAGAUGGGUGACCGCUUGCGCAUACCAGGUGCUGUAAG
Non-coding RNA from Acanthosepion pharaonis, 112 nucleotides. The record is from the annotation of a GenBank genome assembly. NCBI's taxonomy places the organism in Eukaryota, Metazoa, Mollusca, Cephalopoda, Sepiida, Sepiidae.